Long non-coding RNA from Vespula vulgaris, 426 nucleotides. RefSeq lists it as uncharacterized. NCBI's taxonomy places the organism in Eukaryota, Metazoa, Arthropoda, Insecta, Hymenoptera, Vespidae. The transcript is spliced from 3 exons. The record is from RefSeq and is a predicted model, not a curated record.
UGAAGGUACGUCUGCGUAGGGUUGAAAUAAAUCGAUGUUGGGAAGUCACAACAAAUAGCAGUAUGCUUUCGAAGGGGGAAGACUCUAUCGAUAACGAGUAUUACUCUUACAAUCGUCGAUUUUUUCGUCUGAUUGGAUUAUGGCAGAGUCAUACAUCUUUUAAGAAAAUGAUUUACAUUUCUUUCAUUAAUUUUAUGCUAGCCGUUGGAUCAUUCGUACAGGUUUAUUAUCUGUUUACUUCAGAAAGAAAUUUUAUUUCGAUCACAAAAUUAUUGGAAACAACGUUGCCCACUUUAUGCUUCGGAUUCUGCUAUUACAAUCUGUUGUACAAUGAUGGAAUUAUGAGGAAAAUUCGUUAUCGUAUAAAAUGUGAUUGGGAAAUCUUAGAAAACAAACCAGAAUUAGAGAUAUUAAAGAAAUAUGCCG